This 720-nucleotide ribosomal RNA is filed under the name uncultured bacterium. RNAcentral describes it as "bacterial SSU rRNA". It matches the Rfam family "Bacterial small subunit ribosomal RNA", at positions 29 to 792 of the family's 1533-position model. The record is from RNAcentral.
ACGACCGCUGGCGGCAGGCCUAACACAUGCAAGUCGAACGCGUGCCUUCGGGCACGAGUGGCGGACGGGUGAGUAACGCGUGGGAAUUUGCCUUGGGGUACGGAAUAACCGCGGGAAACUGCGGCUAAUACCGUAUACGUCCUUCGGGAGAAAGAUUUAUCGCCCUGAGAUGAGCCCGCGUCCGAUUAGGUAGUUGGUGAGGUAACGGCUCACCAAGCCUUCGAUCGGUAGCUGGUCUGAGAGGAUGAUCAGCCACACUGGGACUGAGACACGGCCCAGACUCCUACGGGAGGCAGCAGUGGGGAAUAUUGGACAAUGGGGGAAACCCUGAUCCAGCCAUGCCGCGUGAGUGAAGAAGGCCUUAGGGUUGUAAAGCUCUUUCGGUGGUGACGAUGAUGACGGUAGCCACAGAAGAAGCCCCGGCUAACUCCGUGCCAGCAGCCGCGGUAAUACGGAGGGGGCAAGCGUUGUUCGGAAUUACUGGGCGUAAAGGGCGCGUAGGCGGAUGAUCAAGUCAGAGGUGAAAGCCCUGGGCUCAACCUAGGAGGUGCCUUUGAAACUGAUUGUCUUGAGUACGGGAGAGGAUAGCGGAAUUCCCAGUGUAGAGGUGAAAUUCGUAGAUAUUGGGAAGAACACCAGUGGCGAAGGCGGCUAUCUGGCCCGUAACUGACCCUGAGCGCGAAAGCCUGGGGGAGCAAACCGGAUUAGAAUACCCUGGUA